CCGCGGUAAUACGUAGGGUGCGAGCGUUGUCCGGAAUUAUUGGGCGUAAAGAGCUUGUAGGCGGUUUGUCGCGUCUGCUGUGAAAAUCCGGGGCUCAACCCCGGACUUGCAGUGGGUACGGGCAGACUAGAGUGUGGUAGGGGAGACUGGAAUUCCUGGUGUAGCGGUGAAAUGCGCAGAUAUCAGGAGGAACACCGAUGGCGAAGGCAGGUCUCUGGGCCACUACUGACGCUGAGGCACGAAAGCGUGGGGAGCAAACAGG
Molecule: ribosomal RNA, 262 nt
Filed under: uncultured bacterium
Lineage: Bacteria
Description: partial 16S ribosomal RNA
Rfam family: Bacterial small subunit ribosomal RNA
Source: RNAcentral